GGUUAAAAAGCUCGUAGUUGGGUUUCUCGGAUAACGCGCCUGGCCCGCUUUUGUGAGUGCCGGUGCGCGUUUGCCAUCCUUCUAGAAAACGUUUCUACCCGGGCAACUGGGCCGGACUCGCGAUCUAGAUCUUUUACUUUGAAAAAAUUAGAGUGUUUAAAGCAGGCUUUUGCUGUGAAUACAUUAGCAUGGAAUAAUAAUCUAGGACUUCGGUUCUAUUUUGUUGGUUUCUAGUACUGAAGUAAUGAUUGAUAGGGAUAGUUGGGGGUGCUAGUAUUGGCCGGCCAGAGGUGAAAUUCUUGGAUUCGGUCAAGACUAACUUAUGCGAAAGCAUUCACCAAGGAUGUCUUCUUUAAUCAAGAACGAAAGUUGGGGGAUCGAAGACGAUCAGAUACCGUCGUAGUCUCAACCAUAAACUAUGCCAACUAGGGAUGGGUGAACGUUGUUUUUUUGACUUCAUCUGCACCUUAUGAGAAAUCAAAGUCUUUGGGUUCCGGGGGGAGUAUGGUCGCAAGGCUGAAACUUAAAGGAAUUGACGGAAGGGCACCACCAGGAGUGGAGCCUGCGGCUUAAUUUGACU
Molecule: ribosomal RNA, 580 nt
Filed under: uncultured eukaryote
Lineage: Eukaryota
Description: SSU rRNA
Rfam family: Eukaryotic small subunit ribosomal RNA
Source: RNAcentral